GCGCGGGUGGCGGAAUGGUAGACGCACUGGCUUGAGGUGCCAGCGGGCGCAAGCCCUUGGAGGUUCGACUCCUCUCCCGCGCA
This 83-nucleotide transfer RNA is filed under the name Candidatus Magasanikbacteria bacterium RIFCSPHIGHO2_02_FULL_51_14. Its description in RNAcentral is "tRNA-Leu". It matches the Rfam family "tRNA". From Rfam's summary of the family: Transfer RNA (tRNA) molecules are approximately 80 nucleotides in length. The record is from RNAcentral. Lineage: Bacteria; Candidatus Magasanikiibacteriota.